CUUAUUCCUGUCUAAAGAAGAAGGUGGACAAGGGCUAAUAAACUUGCAAAGCAGAACAGCAGCUUUUCGGUUGCAGUUUAUACAAAGACUUCUUUUGGGAUCGAGUGACUUUGGUUGGAGCGCUGCUGCAUGUGUUAUUUUACGGAGUCUCGGAGGCCUACAGAUGGACAAAUCUCUUUUCUUUUUAGACCCUCUGGAACUGGAUACUCUCAGAAUGCCAAUUUUUUAUCGCAAUCUUUUUAAAGUAUGGAGUCUUUUUAAUCUUCAAAGGACACCAUAUAUGGAAUCACUUUUUUGGUUGCUAAAUGAACCUAUAGUACAUGGGGCCCGAUUGGAUAUUUCCACUGUUGACCACAAUUUUCCUGGACUUAAUACAUUGCUUUAUAAAUCCAGGAUCCCCACCCUUGGUCUCCUUAUAGAUGUGGCUGGUCAUAACUUCUCGAACACUGAACAAGUAGCUUCCCAUCUAGGUGUUGUUUCAACUCGUAUAAUUGCUCAACUGAUGGGAAAGUGGAAAUCUGCUCUUACAAAUGAGGAGAGACAAUUAUUGACAGACUACUGUACAGGAGUAAUGGCUCCUAAUGCUGAGGACCCUUUUCCGACCAUAUACUUGUCACCCAAAUUAGGUGAUUGUGUGGGUCUGUUUUUAAGAGCUGGGAAAUCUUUGUGUGUAGAUUUCUUUUCAGUCACGGGGAAAAUGUUGUACAAAAUUUGUGUUUUGGUUUUUAAUAAGAAAAUUUUAGAUAGUAAAGUGGAUACACUGUGGCGUUCAUAUUUUAAACUAGAUGACAAUGUUAAAGCUGAAUGGAGAGUUUUGUAUAAGCCACCGUUAACAAAGCGAGUAGGGGACAUACAGUGGAGGGUUCUCCAUGGAGCAAUUGCUGUCAAUGCUUUUAUUUCUGUUUUAAAUCCUGAAGUAAGCUCUGAAUGCCCUUUUUGUUUUAAUAGAGAAACUGUCUUUCAUGCUUUUAUGGAGUGUUCUAGACUAAAGUCCUUAUUUUCUGUAUUAGGAAAUCUUUUUGACUGUUUUAAUGAAAUAUUUUCCAAGGAAACGUUUAUUUUGGGUAUCAAGUAUGUGCAGAAGAGACGUGUUGAUUGUCAGUUACUGAAUUUUAUUUUGGGUCAAGCUAAGCUGGCCAUUUACUCAAGUAGGAAAAAUAGGAUCGAACAGAAACCUGGACAAAAU
Molecule: long non-coding RNA, 1186 nt
Filed under: Sinocyclocheilus anshuiensis
Lineage: Eukaryota; Metazoa; Chordata; Actinopteri; Cypriniformes; Cyprinidae
Description: lncRNA (ENSSANG00000030461.1)
Source: RNAcentral